RNAcentral lists this ribosomal RNA (247 nucleotides) under uncultured bacterium. RNAcentral's name for it is "partial 16S ribosomal RNA". It matches the Rfam family "Bacterial small subunit ribosomal RNA", at positions 15 to 253 of the family's 1533-position model. The record is from RNAcentral.
GAUCCUGGCUCAAGAUGAACGCUAGCUACAGGCUUAACACAUGCAAGUCGAGGGGCAGCGGGAUUGAAGCUUGCUUCAAUUGCCGGCGACCGGCGCACGGGUGGGUAACGCGUAUCCAACCUUCCGUACACUCAGGGAUAGCCUUUCGAAAGAAAGAUUAAUACCUGAUGGUAUCUUAAGCACACAUGUAAUUAAGAUUAAAGAUUUAUCGGUGUACGAUGGGGAUGCGUUCCAUUAGGUAGUAGGG